CCCUUAGAUGUUCUGGGCCGCACGCGCGCUACACUGACGGAGGCGGCGAGCGUGUCCUUCGCCGGCAGGUGCGGGCAAUCUUGCGAGUCUCCGUCGUGCUGGGGAUAGAUGGUUGCAAUUGUCGAUCUUGAACGAGGAAUUCCUAGUAAGCGCGAGUCAUCAGCUCGCGCUGAUUACGUCCCUGCCCUUUGUACACACCGCCCGUCGCUACUACAGAGUGCCCGUGUCCAAGAAACGGUCGGACCUGUGCGGCCUCUCCGGGCGACCGGAGGGCCGUUACGGGGAAGACCCUUUAUUUGACGCGGGUCGAUGAAGUAAAAGUCGUAACA
RNAcentral lists this ribosomal RNA (329 nucleotides) under uncultured eukaryote. RNAcentral describes it as "partial 18S ribosomal RNA". It matches the Rfam family "Eukaryotic small subunit ribosomal RNA", at positions 1470 to 1796 of the family's 1831-position model. The record is from RNAcentral.